This 311-nucleotide long non-coding RNA is filed under the name Capsella rubella. Its description in RNAcentral is "long non-coding RNA (CRUB_LNC003501)". The record is from RNAcentral. Lineage: Eukaryota; Viridiplantae; Streptophyta; Magnoliopsida; Brassicales; Brassicaceae.
GAGAUUCUUCACCAAUACAGUCUUGGAUCCCGCUGGAAUCUUUAGAUCGAUGGUGGAGUCGGUGAAGAUGAGGUCAGAUUCCUUGGGGAAACCGGUGACGUAAUCUCGCAGUAUGACCCGCUUGUUGGUCGCUGUCUCGUUGCAUGUGGUUGCCAUCUCUCCCUGAUUUUGUUUCCUUACAACAAAAGUUUAUUUUCGUGUUCUUCCCUGAUGCGUUCUGUAUUUAUAGGCUUUGCGGAUCGUGCGAUUAUAGCCACAAGACCCACACAACCGCUGAAAGAAUACGAUUCUCGUAUCAUCUUUUCUUGUUA